RNAcentral lists this long non-coding RNA (3597 nucleotides) under Chrysolophus pictus (golden pheasant). RNAcentral describes it as "lncRNA (ENSCPIG00010001616.1)". Lineage: Eukaryota; Metazoa; Chordata; Aves; Galliformes; Phasianidae. The record is from RNAcentral.
GGGGCACGGGAACGGGCGAGGCCGCGACGUGCGGCUCCGGGCUGCUCCCCGUCCGCCUCGCCCUCCAAUGAGCAGCGCUGCUGGGCCGGGCUGCGGGCCGGGAGGAAGAUGUGGAGCGGGUUGGGAACGGCGCUCCCAAUGCUGGAGGAUUUCACGCCGCUUUCGCCUUCUCGCCCCUUUCCUCCCCUCCCCCUCGGCUGCUCGGAGCUGUGCUGCCCCGCUGUCGGGUCCCCGUGUUUCCCUUUGGGUUCCUUCCCCGGGGAAGCAGUGGCAUCUUCCUGUCGGUUUUGUCCCGCGGCGGAAAUCCCAGCGUUGUUAUUUGGCAAAAUCUCUCUUUAGAUUGCAUAACUGCUCCAAUUUUCUCCCUCUGACGUUUCCUGUCAUCCUCGGAUUGGGAAGCUCGAAAGGUGGCUCUUCCCCAUCAUUGGCCAUAUGGGUAUCUGCACGUCGACGGGAGUCAUUCGGGACUUUGCGGGGCCGUAUUUUGUCUCAGAAGACAACAUGGCGUUUGGGAAGCCAGUGAAGUACUGGAAGCUGGAUCCUGGCAAAGUGUACUCCAGCAGCCCCAACGCAUGGGACACAGCUGUGCACGACGCCUCGGAGGAGUACAAACACCGAAUGCACAACCUUUGCUGUGAUAACUGCCAUUCUCACGUGGCUCUGGCCUUAAACUUGAUGAGAUACGACAACAGCACCUCCUGGAACAUGGUCAAACUCUGCUUCUUCUCACUCCUCUAUGGGAAGUACGUAAGCAUAGGGGGAUUUGUGAAGACCUGGCUUCCCUUUGUCCUCUUCUUGGGGGCGAUCCUGACGGUUGUUCUGACGCUUCACCUGCGGUGAUAACAGCUGUGAGCUCCCCACCCCGUGGGCACACAAAGGAGGGAACUGUGACUGCUUGACUCAGUGAGACAGGCACGGCAUUCCGGGAGGCAUACUCUGGGAAGGCUGCAAUUCCACUCCACUGUAACAGCUCAUCCUUGUUUCCUGGAACUGCCUUCUUACCCUUCUGUUUCUGUUCUGUCGCUGCUGUGUCUCAGUGCCGGGCUCCCGAAGCCUCCUGACUUCUCCCUUAAUUUGUUCCCUCUGCAAUUUGGCAGUUGGGAAUAGAGAGGUGUGGGCACCUUUGCUUUCAGCACAGGCAGAGCCUCAAGGCAAACCCCGCCUGCUGGUUCAGGAACACCAGUGGUUACACCUCCUGGGGUUCUCUCCCAUCACCUCUUCCUUCCUCCUGCCUCACUUCAUCAGAUGCUUCCUUAGAUUUCCAGCUUCCAAGGAGGGGUUGUGUCCUUCUUGCACGACUCUCCUGUAGCACACGUUUUGGAGUGGAGUUUGGGGCUCCUCCUGGGGGUGUACAUUGCCCAGCACGUGCUGACAGUCCCCAGCAGUGACAGCGAAGUGUUGGUGGCUCAGCACUCCUCUGAGGAGACACACAGAGAAUCGCUCUGUGGCAGAGCAGAUCCAUCUGGUCCUGCUGGUGAGUCCAGAAAAGCAGGAAAGUGGAUGGACUGGCUUGGGUACGGCUCAUAGCAGUCUGCACGCUGUCAGCAGCACGUUGCAGAGCUGGGAGUCUGCUGCCAAAUCCCUUUUAGCUUCUGCCAGAGAAAAUACAGCUUCCCUGCUUCUCCCGGUGCUCUGAGUGCCUGAAGUUGUCAUUGCACUUCUCACAAGCUCCUUAACUUUCCUUUGAGCCUCCAUGCUUUGCAUGUCACAGAAUUCCUGCCUGCAGAGGUGGCAGUGGGUGGGUGCUGCUGGGACAGAAGGCUUGGUGUAGGGCUGUGGUAGCAUCCGUGCCUCCAGAGCAGCACCUGAGCUUUGUGGGGCUGAUGGAGGUUUGAGGAGAGACAGAGGGCCUGGAAGGCAGGCAUGCUCUUGUGGGGCUUUGCAGCAGCAAGCAGGGCACUGGUUUUCCUCUGUCCAACGUGGAGAACAGGAGGUGUGGUGUAUUUUGCACAGCUCACUUGGGGUAAAAGUGCUGUUCUCACAGUGCUGGGAUCUGAUGGCCCUCCUGUGCCCCUGGUCAGGCAGGGUGGGUGCUGGGGAAUAGGAGUGCUGAGCAGGAGGUGGGUUUGGAUGUGGGUCUCUGAGGUGCUGGCCUGCAGGUGCUGCUUUCUGUGGGCUUGCUUUCUGUAAAAGUGUCUCUGGAGGUGAUGUGCCAUUGGCAGAUCCUUUCUGAUGGCUGAGGGAGGGUUAGCUUUUCCACACGUGUCCUGAUAGGCCAGCUCUGUACUCCACUGCCUGCUGCAUUUCAGUCUGGAGGAGUGCUUGUGGCCAGGAGGGAGCUCUUCUUGUCUGCACACCAUCCCUGUGGCUUCCUCUGAUGUGAAAGCCCCUUCCAGGUCCCUGCUGCCUCCCUCUGUGCUUCCCCUCUGCUUCCACCUCUCUGCACUCCCCAGCUGCACAGGGGCUCCCCUUGGGUGUCUAUUUCUGUAUUUCCUCCUCUCCCACGGUCCUGUUUCAAUGUCUCUUCACACCCCUCCCUUCUCCAUGCCCCCCAGCUGUCUGUAUCACCUCAUGCUGGGGGUGUGCAGACCUCAGUGCCCACCCCCACAUCCCCACACCCGGAGGUGUUGCCCACACCCGGAGGUGUUGCUGUCUCUGUGCUCUGUCACCUCCUGCCCAGUGCAGAGCAGGCUGCAGGGCCGAGAUCUCCAUCAGAGAGAACCUGACAAGGGAAGCGUGGAGCCUUGCUGAGCUGCCCUGCCUGGCUGUGAGCCGAUGUGCCCCAGGUGGAUGGGAGAAAUGAGUCCCAACGUGCCCCAAUUCUGAAUGGAAGUCUGAGACCCUCCAAGGAUGUGCCAGGAGCCGUGGGGCUGAAGCCAACCAACCCAUCUUAUCAGUAGCAAUAACCUAGAGACUCAUAGGGCUGUGUCCCCAUGUGUUAGAGAUAAGCUGUACGAGCAUUGCCAAAGCUGAGGCUUGGAGCUGCUGGGGGAGGCUGGGGUCCCCACUCUGGGAUCCCUGACAAUGUCCAGUGCCAUUCCCAGUGCUUUUGUACCAAAUCUGAGUUUUGAACAGAGACUCUUCCCCUGCAGCAGCAGCAGAGCCCUGCCGUCUGUUGGGCUGAAAUGAAGCAGAGGUCCCACAGAGCUGCCCCAGCCCUCACCGAGCACACAGAGCCAUCUUUGCCAUGGAAGAGAAGGGACAGAACGCAGCCUGCAAGCUGGGAUGUGGGCACGGUGCUGGACUCACAUUUAUAGCUUUAGCACAUUGCUGGUGUGACAUAAAGCCACGUGAGUGCAGGCAGACCCACUGCUGUGUCCCCAAGGCUGGGAGGUGACAGAGGGGCGAGCAGACAGGGGAUGUGCAUCCUUCAGCAUCCCCCAUCUCCCUGCCUGCUCCUUCACUGUGCCCCCAGCCCUCGGCCACAAAGGUUGGCUCUGUCCCUUUCCUUCCAGUUUUACCCUCCCCUCCUUUCCCCCUGCUGCAGAGCUCUGUGGCUUUGCUGCUGCUCUUUGGCGGGGGCCAUCCCUCCAUCUCCCCUUCCUUUGUUCCCUUGAUCUCUGUGGGGCGCUGGAUUACUUUGUAAAUAUUUCAACUCUGCUUCUGUGGUUUCAUAAUCCUGAUGGUAGGGGAAAUAAACUUCUGUGGAUGUCUCCA